RNAcentral lists this ribosomal RNA (497 nucleotides) under uncultured bacterium. RNAcentral's name for it is "partial 16S ribosomal RNA". It matches the Rfam family "Bacterial small subunit ribosomal RNA", at positions 28 to 507 of the family's 1533-position model. The record is from RNAcentral.
GACGAACGCUGGCGGCGUGCCUAAUACAUGCAAGCUGAGCGCUGAAGGUUGGUACUUGUUCCAACUGGAUGAGCAGCGAACGGGUGAGUAACGCGUGGGUAAUCUGCCUUUGAGCGGGGGACAACAUUUGGAAACGAAUGCUAAUACCGCAUAACAACUUUAAACACAAGUUUUAAGUUUGAAAGAUGCAAUUGCUUCACUCAAAGAUGAUCCCGCGUUGUAUUAGCUAGUUGGUGAGGUAAAGGCUCACCAAGGCGAUGAUACAUAGCCGACCUGAGAGGGUGAUCGGCCAAAAUGGGACGGAGACAAGGCCCAAGCUCCUACGGGAGGGAGCAGGAGGGGAUCUUCGGCAAUGGGAGAAAGUCUGAACGUGCAACGCCGCGGGAGUGCAGAAGGUUUUCGGAUCGGAAAACUCUGUUGGUAGGGAAGAACGGUGGUGAGAGUGGAAAGCUCAUAAAGUGACGGUAACUACACAGAAAGGGACGGCUAACUACGUG